AAGUAUUUCAUUGAUGUAAAAAGUUAGCUUUACCAAUUAAAUUACAUAUGGCAGCCAAUGCGUAUUGUGACACAAUAUUAUUAUUAACUAACUUUAAAAAGGUUAUUUAAACUAAUAUUAACUAAAGUUAACCUUUAACUUUCACUUUAUCACAACACCAAUGUUUUAUAUUAUUAUUUAGCUAGGAAACUAGGCCAUAGGAAAUAGUAAGAAGGGGUGGCAAAAAUGGUGCCAGCAGCCGCGGUUAUACCAGUACCCCAAGCUAAUUAUAAUAAACCGGAGUAGCCUUUAACCAAGACUCCAAGAUUACCUUUUAGCGUAAAAACCAAAUUAUAACUAAACCCUAUCCAGUCAUGUGUAGACUACUCCAACAAACCAUAACCUCAGAACUCGGAUUAGAUACCCGACUACUGUAUGGCUCAACACAUAAAAGAAUACUACGAGCGAAAGCUUAAACCUCAAACAAUGUGGCGGUGCUUUAUUCCUCAUCAGGGGAUCCUGUGGCUUAAUUCGAUAACCCACGAAAAUCUUAGCUACUCUAGUUACCCAGUUUGUGUAUGGCCGUUUAUGCUUGCUCUCAAAGGAAAAAAAAGGAAGCAAAAGGGUUAAUUACCCAAAAAUUCAGGUGACAUACAACCAAUGAGUAGCAGAUCCAUGGGAUACAAAUAAACAUCCUAUCAAAUUUAAAGCAUUAACCUUUAAUGAAGGAGGACUUGAAAGUAAGAUUAUUUCCAUAAAAUAAAUCUGAAUAAGAACUAAAGCGCGCACAAAUCGCCCGUCACUCCGACAAUAGCGUAGGAUAAGUCGUAACAUAGUAGGGGUAAUGGAAAUUGCCCCUAUCACAG
RNAcentral lists this non-coding RNA (845 nucleotides) under Beringiana fukuharai. Lineage: Eukaryota; Metazoa; Mollusca; Bivalvia; Unionida; Unionidae. The record is from RNAcentral.